Long non-coding RNA from Choloepus didactylus (southern two-toed sloth), 263 nucleotides. RefSeq lists it as uncharacterized. The transcript is spliced from 3 exons. NCBI's taxonomy places the organism in Eukaryota, Metazoa, Chordata, Mammalia, Pilosa, Megalonychidae. The record is from RefSeq and is a predicted model, not a curated record.
AUCCCAUUAGGCCAGCGACUCUUCUCAGUACAGAUAUGUGAAAAGCACACACAUCCAUGAAAUUCACGUAUAUUGCCAAUUACUUUGUACAUGUCAUUUCCCCUGCUGAAAUAGCCUCAACUCUUCCUUCUCUGUGUGAAAAAUCUUCAUUCUUCAAGACUGAGUUAAAAUGGAGGAUGAAAUAGAGGCUGGCAAGCUAGUGAAGAGGGGAGAUGUUACAGACCUUGUGCAGAAAGUUCUUAUUUCCAUUAAAAAAAAAAAAA